This 465-nucleotide ribosomal RNA is filed under the name Vreelandella stevensii. RNAcentral's name for it is "partial 16S ribosomal RNA". It matches the Rfam family "Bacterial small subunit ribosomal RNA", at positions 338 to 795 of the family's 1533-position model. The record is from RNAcentral. Lineage: Bacteria; Pseudomonadati; Pseudomonadota; Gammaproteobacteria; Oceanospirillales; Halomonadaceae.
CCUACGGGAGGCUGCAGUGGGGAAUAUUGGACAAUGGGGGGAACCCUGAUCCAGCCAUGCCGCGUGUGUGAAGAAGGCCCUCGGGUUGUAAAGCACUUUCAGUGAGGAAGAACGCCUGGUGGUUAAUACCCAUCAGGAAAGACAUCACUCACAGAAGAAGCACCGGCUAACUCCGUGCCAGCAGCCGCGGUAAUACGGAGGGUGCGAGCGUUAAUCGGAAUUACUGGGCGUAAAGCGCGCGUAGGUGGCUUGAUAAGCCGGUUGUGAAAGCCCCGGGCUCAACCUGGGAACGGCAUCCGGAACUGUCAAGCUAGAGUGCAGGAGAGGAAGGUAGAAUUCCAGGUGUAGCGGUGAAAUGCGUAGAGAUCGGGAGGAAUACCAGUGGCGAAGGCGGCCUUCUGGACUGACACUGACACUGAGGUGCGAAAGCGUGGGUAGCAAACAGGAUUAGAUACCCGUGUAGUC